CCCUUAGAUGUUCUGGGCGGCACGCGCGCUACAGUGGUCUUCGCAAACGGAUGCAUUCUCGAAGGAGAAUGCCAAUCUUGGAAUCUAUGCCUUGGUCGGGACAGUUGCUUGCAAUUUUUCGACUCGAACCAGGAAUUCCUUGUAAUCGUGAUUCAUCACAUCACGAUGAAUACGUCCCUGCCCUUUGUACACACCGCCCGUCGCUCCUACCGAUCGAAGAGUUAGGUGAAUUGUUUUGAUCGAUAAGAUUUGACUAUGGUCAACUCUCGUUGUGAAAUUCUGUGAAUCUGACUGUUUAGAGGAAGGAAAAGUCGUAACA
RNAcentral lists this ribosomal RNA (319 nucleotides) under uncultured eukaryote. Its description in RNAcentral is "partial 18S ribosomal RNA". It matches the Rfam family "Eukaryotic small subunit ribosomal RNA", at positions 1470 to 1796 of the family's 1831-position model. The record is from RNAcentral.